CCCUUAGAUGUUCUGGGCCGCACGCGCGCUACACUGACGGAGGCAGCGAGCGUGUCCUUCGCCGGCAGGUGCGGGCAAUCUUGCGAGUCUCCGUCGUGCUGGGGAUAGAUGGUUGCAAUUGUCGAUCUUGAACGAGGAAUUCCUAGUAAGCGCGAGUCAUCAGCUCGCGCUGAUUACGUUCCUGCCCUUUGUACACACCGCCCGUCGCUACUACAGAGUGCCCGUGUCCAAGAAACGGUCGGACCUGUGCGGCCUCUCCGGGCGACCGGAGGGCCGUUACGGGGAAGACCCUUUAUUUGACGCGGGUCGAUGAAGUAAAAGUCGUAACA
This 329-nucleotide ribosomal RNA is filed under the name uncultured eukaryote. Its description in RNAcentral is "partial 18S ribosomal RNA". It matches the Rfam family "Eukaryotic small subunit ribosomal RNA", at positions 1470 to 1796 of the family's 1831-position model. The record is from RNAcentral.